RNAcentral lists this non-coding RNA (180 nucleotides) under Amphritea balenae. RNAcentral's name for it is "6S / SsrS RNA". It matches the Rfam family "6S / SsrS RNA". From Rfam's summary of the family: E. coli 6S RNA was the first non coding RNA to be sequenced, but its function was unknown until recently. It consists of 184 nucleotides that fold into an extended hairpin structure with a large single-stranded internal bulge. Lineage: Bacteria; Pseudomonadati; Pseudomonadota; Gammaproteobacteria; Oceanospirillales; Oceanospirillaceae. The record is from Rfam by way of RNAcentral.
AGCUCCCUGGGGCUAUUGGUUGUCUGGUUACGUCCCUUGAGCCGAUAAUCACACCUUAGGAAGUCUUUCGUAUAGAUGAUGCGCAUGUCCGCCAGUCGGAAAGCCUAAUUCUAUACAGAGGCUACCACCUUGAACCUUCGGGUUCAGGGCCAGAACCAGCGCCGCAGCCUUGGGGAGUCA